CAGUAGCCGCGGGAACACGGAGGAUCCAAGCGUUAUCCGGAAUCAUUGGGUUUAAAGGGUCCGUAGGCGGUCUUGUAAGUCAGUGGUGAAAGCCCAUCGCUCAACGGUGGAACGGCCAUUGAUACUGCAGGACUUGAAUUAUUGGGAAGUAACUAGAAUAUGUAGUGUAGCGGUGAAAUGCUUAGAGAUUACAUGGAAUACCAAUUGCGAAGGCAGGUUACUACCAAUUGAUUGACGCUGAUGGACGAAAGCGUGGGUAGCGAACAGGAUUAGAGACCCCUGUAGUCCCUGUCUCUUAUAC
RNAcentral lists this ribosomal RNA (301 nucleotides) under uncultured bacterium. Its description in RNAcentral is "partial 16S ribosomal RNA". It matches the Rfam family "Bacterial small subunit ribosomal RNA", at positions 509 to 807 of the family's 1533-position model. The record is from RNAcentral.